RNAcentral lists this ribosomal RNA (447 nucleotides) under uncultured bacterium. RNAcentral's name for it is "bacterial SSU rRNA". It matches the Rfam family "Bacterial small subunit ribosomal RNA", at positions 328 to 792 of the family's 1533-position model. The record is from RNAcentral.
UUUCCAGACUCCUACGGGAGGCAGCAGUGGGGAAUAUUGCACAAUGGGGGAAACCCUGAUGCAGCGACGCCGCGUGAGCGAUGAAGUAUUUCGGUAUGUAAAGCUCUAUCAGCAGGGAAGAAAAUGACGGUACCUGACUAAGAAGCACCGGCUAACUCCGUGCCAGCAGCCGCGGUAAUACGGGGGGUGCAAGCGUUGUCCGGGAUCAUUGGGCGUAAAGAGUUCGUAGGCGGCACGUAAAGUCUGGUGUUAAAGGCAGAGGCUCAACUUCUGUACGGCACUGGAUACUUGCGAGCUAGAAUGCGGUAGAGGUAAAGGGAAUUCCUGGUGUAGCGGUGAAAUGCUUAGAUAUCAGGAGGAACAUCGGUGGCGUAAGCGCUUUACUGGGCCGUAAUUGACGCUGAGGAACGAAAGCCAGGGUAGCAAAUGGGAUUAGAUACCCCAGUA